GCUCGCUCUCCCGACCGCCUCUUCCUUCCUGCUGCCACGAGUGAGCCGCAGCCCCUGCCUCUUCUUCCUCGUCGUCUCCCUCGCACUCUCAUCUCCUGCUUCGACCAGUUGCCUACUCCGGCCACUCGCCCUCUCAUUCUCCGAGCCGCUGCCGUCUCUCUUGCCUUCUCACGCUCCCGCUCCAGCCACUCUCCUUGUCACUCUCCGAGGUCCGUUCAAGUACUGUUUCAUCGUCAGUUAAUGCUAUCAGAGUUGAUGGUGCUCCAUUACUAAACCAGCGUGGACAUGGGUAGCGAAAAUCAAUAUUAUGGAAGGGGAAACUAUCGUGGAGGCCGUGGUGGUCGAUUUCGCUCACGAGGCCGAGGACGAGGAAACUACCACAACAAUCAACAAAAUCAAAGGUAUUAUAAUGAUCAACGCUCUCACAUUGUCUGUCAAUUAUGUGAAAAGAUAGGGCACUCGGCAAAGACGUGCAAAUUAUUCCAGCAAUCAGACAAUUCUAAUUCCAAUCCUCCUCAUGCGUAUAAUGCUGCAACAUCUGAGACCACUGGUAAUGAUUCGUGGUAUCCUGAUUCCGGUGCUUCCCAUCACGUUGUUCCUGAUAUCAGCUCUUUGUCAAUAAAUUCCGCUUAAUCGGGCGUCAAGGUGUGAAAUGGUACAAGUUUAGCUAUUAAACACAUUGGUAGUUCAUCCUUUAAACUUGGAAAUUUCAACGUCAAGAUGCAUGAUAUUCUUCAUGUUCCUCUUAUAACCAAGAAACUUUUCUCUGUGCAUCGGUUUGCUGAAGAUAAUAACGUUGUUUUUGAAUUUGAUGCAAGAGAGUGCAGAAUUAGAGAUGCCAGAUCCAAACAAAAGUUGUUGAGAGGACACGUUAAAGGAGGAAUCUACACUCUUGACUUUGACAAUUUUAAAGAAAAAGUUGCUUGCAUUGGAGAAAAGGCUUGUCGCGCUACAUGGCACGCCCGGUUGGGACGUCCAAAUAGAAAGAUUGUUGAUCGUGUGCUUAGUUCCUUUAAUUUACCUUUUUCGGACUGCAAUAUCAAAAUUUGUUCUUUCUGUCAAACUGCUAAAAUGCAUAAGUUGCCCUUUAGUCGCAUUGAUUAUAGUAAAUUGGAACCUCUAGAGAUCAUCUUUUCAGAUGUAUGGGGGCCAGCCACUAUUUCUAGUAUCUAUGGACAUCGUUUUUAUGUUAUCUUUGUUGAUGCAUGGUCAAGAUUUACAUGGCUGUUUUUGUUGAAACAUAAAUCUGAAGUGCUUGAGACCUUUCAAAAGUUUAAAGCAAUGGUUGAAAAUAUGUUUGGAAGAAAAAUUAAGAAAUUCCACAGUGAUGGUGGAGGAGAAUACAAGUGCAUGGACAACUAUUUUUCCAAGGCAGAAAUUAAACAUCGUUAUUUCUGUCCUCACACCCAAAAACAGAAUGACGUCUUCGAACGCAAACAUAGGCAUAUCGUUGACACUAGAUUGACUCUUAUGGCUCAUAGCAAUGUGCUAAAACAACUCUGGAAUUUUGCCUUUUCAGCUGCAAUAUUUCUGAUAAAUCGAUUGCCUGCUGCAGGCUUGAAAAAAUACAAGUCCUCUUGAAAUGCUUUGGAACAAGGAACCCAACUACAAGUUUCUUAAAACUUUUGGGUGUUUAUGCUUCCCCAACUUGAGAGCGUAUAGAUCCAACAAACUUGACUAUCGAUCCCAUGCUCACGUUUUUAUGGGUUAUAGUGAUAAUCAUCAUGGCUAUCUAUGCAUGGAUCCUAACUCAUUCAAGAUUAUUGUGUCCAAAGAUGUUAUUUUCAAUGAAGAAAAUUUUCCUUUUAUUGAAAAACCAGCUAAUGACACUUCGGCCCCAGGAACUCACCCACAAGUUGUUCUUGUGCCUCCAUGGCUCUCAUCUUCAAGCAGUGCCAUUGCAGAAAAUCCUACUGCUCCUGUUCAUGACAGUGGACCGCUUAUUGCACCUAGCUCGCCACAAACAAGUCCAGAUCAACCUGCUCCUCAAGAGGCACUGUUGGUCACCUCAAGGCCUCACUCUAUGGUGAGACGCUCCCAAACUGGUUCACUCAAACCAUCCUCUCGGCUCUCGUUAUGCUUUCUCUAGUCUCUUGGUGACUAAACUCCUCGAAGACAAGGAACCAAAAGAUUUUAAUGAAGCCACCAAGCAUAACAAGUGGCGUGCUGCUAUGCAAGACGAAUUUCAAGCUCUUUGCAAGAAUAAAACAUGGUCUCUUGUGCCUCGCACCUCGGAAAUGAAUAUUGUGGGAUGCAAAUGGGUGUACCGCAUCAAACACAAGUCGGAUGGCACUCUUGAGCGACACAAAGCUAGACUUGUCACAAAAGGGUUUCACCAAGAAGAAGGAGUCGACUUCUUUGAAACUUUCAGCCAUGUCGUCAAACCAGGUACUAUUCGAACUAUGAUCUCACUUGCUUUAUGGGGGAAUUGGAUAAUUAGACAACUUGAUGUCCAUAAUGCAUUCCUUAAUGGAACCUUAUUUGAGGAAGUGUAUAUGGCUCAACCGCCCGGCUUCAUCGACCACCAAUUUCCAUCACAUGUCUGCCACCUUCAUAAGGCCCUAUAUGGGCUAAAGCAAGCCCCUCGAGCCUGGUUUCAACGUCUGAGUCAAAGCCUCUUUCAUUUUGGAUUCACGAGCUCUAAGACUGAUCCUUCUUUAUUUAUCAUGCAUAGUGGUGAAAAUAUUGUUUAUAUUAUGGUCUAUGUUGACGACAUUCUUGUCACCGGCAAUUCUCAAAGUCUUACUAACAAGAUUAUUAAGCUUCUUGGUGAGUAGUUUGCCUUAAGGGAUCUUGGGAGGCUUCAUUUUUUCCUUCGGGUGGAAAUUCUGUAUAAUUCCCAAGGUGCUAUCCUCUCUCAACGGAAGUACAUCAUGGAUCUUCUAAAAAAGGCAAAAAUGCAUGAGUGCAAACCAUCCACUACUCCAAUGUCAUCCUCCUCUAAAUUACACAUUGGAGACGACAUUGAUUUCGAGGACCCUACCUUGUAUAGGAGCAUUGUGGGUGGUUUACAAUACCUAUCUCUCACAAGACCAGACGUCGCUUUCAGCAUCAAUAAAGUGUGCCAAUUCAUGCACAAGCCUCCAUAUCUCAUUGGACAGUGGUUAAAAGAAUCCUAAGGUAUUUUAAAUAUACUAUUCAGUAUGGAUUGGUGUUCAAAGCAUCCAAAGACACUAGCAUUAAUGUCUACACAGAUGCUGAUUGGGCUGGGUCUCCUGAUGACCGAAAAUCCACCUCAGGGUAUGCAGUUUAUAUUGGCCCUAACCUUGUUUCAUGGAGUUCAAGGAAACAACAUGUUGUCUCCCGCUCAAGCACUGAGGCCGAAUGCAGAGGAGUAGCAAAUGCCGCAACAGAGCUAACCUAGAUUCAGUCUCUCUUAAGUGAGAUGAAAGUUAGUGUUGUCAACACACCAGUCAUUUGGUGUGACAAUAUCAGCGCUAACUACCUUGCAGUUCAUUCCACGUUUCACUCCAGAAGCAAAUACAUUGAAGUCGACGUUCACUAUGUACGCGACAAAGUUUCUAAAGGUUUGCUCAGAGUUCAGCAUCUCUCAUCAUUGGACCAAAUUGCUGAUGGCCUAACCAAGCCCAUUGUUGUCACACAAUUUAAUUAAUUCCGUGUCAAGCUCAACCUUAGAAGCAUACAGUUGCACUUGAGGGAGGCUGUGAAAGACCCUCGUCCUGAUCACAAUGAACGUGCAGUUGGUUACAUCAGCUCCACCAAAUGUGGAACCACGUUAGCAUGUAAUCCAUCCUCAUGUAAAAAGGAUGUAACUGAAAGGGUAAACCUUAUCAAGUCUAUUAAAACUGAAAAGGUUAUCCCCAUCCAUUGUAAAGCAACAGAGUAUAUAAAAGGAAAGCAGGAACCACAGUAACGUGUGUGUGUCCCUGCAUCGUGAAUGUAGCCUUAACAGGUGAACCACGUUAAAAUUUCUGAAUACUCUUUCAUUCCUCUCAUACCCAGGCAGAUGAGUUCAAUAUGUUGUUGCCUGCGUCCGGCCUCUGUUUGUGGAAGAAGAUGUUAUUCUUUUCUGUUUGCUGAAACUCCAAAUUCCAGAUAUUUAAUCCCUUCUCAAGAGGAGUGAGUGAAUUUUGGGGUGAUGUAACACUAGUAAUUGUUUUCAUUAGUGUUUCUAAGUUAGCAGUCGGCAUCAGAUGUACUUUUCACUUCCUUUUUAGGAUAUCUUUUUGACAAAUUUAUUUGUUUCUGUUUGCAAGUAUCUUUUGCCUUUCAAAAGUUCAACUCUUGUAGCUUCUGCUUUGGUUGGUCCUCUUGGGAAGCCCAUCCCUUUCUCAUGGUUCGAAUUUAUUUUACUAAGCAGUGGUGAGUCUGUGCAUGGGGCAUUCCCUUCACAUUUUUGUCUCUGGUAGUACAUUUUCUAAGCUUAAAAACGGAAUCAUGAAGGUCUGGACUUUAUGGCGUUUUAUGAUAUUUCAGUAAUGAGGGUAAGUUUUUGAAAUGCUUGAAUUUGUAUAGUUGUUAAGUUCUUGUGGUGAUCUUGUAGUAGUCUUAGAUUGCAUAGCCCUAACUGGACGGGACGCAGACUAACUGUUCUUGUUUAUGUGAUUUGAUCAGACAUUCCACUGCAACAACGGAAAGGCAUACCUUUUCAACAAAGCGUAGGUUUAUCUGAUUUAAAUCUUUCAUUCUCUCCUUACUUGAUAUGAUGGAUUCUUAUAGUGGCAUUUUUGAAAUGAUGACUUUUCCAUGUUAUGUUUCUUUAACGCUUGUGGUAACAAAUGUCAAGCUUCAGUUUUUAUUUUAUGUUAUGACAUGAAAUAUGUUGUUUGCUUGUUGAGAUGAUAUGAAACUAGUAUUGUUUUGUUCAUGUUUGCCACUUCGUUAGAUAUUUGUUAUAUUUAGUUGCAUUCUUGGCUAAUGUGAAACUAGUCUUGUUUUGUUAUAAUUUUUUGGCAAAGAAGAAGGAAUGUUGAUCACUUUUCAUAGAGAAAACUUUCAUGCUAUGGUUAAGUCAAGGGAAAUAAAUUGGGUUUAUUUUUCGUACAUUGGAGUGACGAACUUAAUAACACAAAUUGGGUUAGCAAACCUUAUAAGACUGAAAACUUCCACGCAUGACUGAUUUGGUUGGUUUGCUUUUGUGAUCCAUGAUUGGAUAUAUAUGCUCUAUUUUUUUUGUUCUAUUUUGGAGUUUGCAAUUACUAGUUUUUGUUUUUUUCAUGUUGUAGUACUAUGGAAGUUUCAAGCUCAAGAAAUGAUAGUCUUAUAUGGACUGAUGCUCAACUAGAGUAUCUUACAAGUAUUCUAGUUAAGCAAUCAAGACUACCUGGCAUGAAGUCAGGCGAAAAUUUAUAGCCAAAAGCGUAUAAGGCAAUUGAACGGAAUAUGUUAGAAAAGUUUGGGCCAGAUUUCACAGUCGAGAAAAUAAAAAACAAGUUGAAGAGUACAAAAGCAUACUACAAUGUGUGCAAGCAAAUUUUGUUAACAAGUGGGUUUGGUUGGGACCCAACAAACAAGUGCGUAGAAGUUGACAAUGAAGUUUGGGCCAACUACAUUAAGAAAUUCCCUGAUCAGCGGAAAUUCAAAGGGGGGCAAAAAUGGAAACAUUAUCAACAGUUAGAGGAAGUGUAUGGCCAGUCCACUGCGAAUGGUAGUGGUAGUUUUACUUGAGACAGGAAGACUUGGUUUGCUCAUCCUGACCCAGCUCGCUUAACCAAUUGCAGGCGGGUUGGGCCUUGAGCUGGAUGAUGUUGGCCUGGUGUCCAGUUCGACGCGGGCCAAAUAGCAGGUCCGCCUCGUAAGUGCUGGGAUUGAAACUAGGCACACUUGUAGUGGGCUGGGCUGGGCCAGCCUAACUGUGUACUACCUUUUAUGUUUGGCUCGAAGCCUCUAAUAGCAAAGAACUGGUUUAAUUUCUUCAAGCCUGUACCUGCAACUCGCAGCUACAAACAUUACAGAACUCGACGGCAGAGUUGGAGAGAACUUAAAAUGGAUACCAAGAAGUGUUGAGCAUACUUACAGGAAAGAAACCUCUCUUGGGCAGAAGGGGAGUUUUGUUUUUUACACAUAAAAUUGUUCUUGAUCCAUUUGGGCCAUGUAAUUUCUUCUUCAAAAACAUUCAGAAGACCCUUUAUUUUGCUGGCUUCAACCAAGGAUAUAUUUGUGAGCUUUUAUGUAGUUUGACAGAUGGGUGUAACCAACCUUUUGAGACUCAGGCAUGUCCUCCAAAGUUUUAAAACAAAAGAACGAGUCCUUCUAUGCAAUUCCCAACUCACUAGAAAGCCCAAUCGCAUGUGAAAAUGAUAUGAGAGGACAUUUGAAAAAAAGAAUUUAAAACGUUUAAACUUAAUAAUUGGUGAAUAUGUAUAGGAAAGUUGGUAAAUAUCAAACCAAUU
Long non-coding RNA from Nymphaea colorata (pocket water lily), 6353 nucleotides. RefSeq lists it as uncharacterized. The transcript is spliced from 5 exons. The record is from RefSeq and is a predicted model, not a curated record. NCBI's taxonomy places the organism in Eukaryota, Viridiplantae, Streptophyta, Magnoliopsida, Nymphaeales, Nymphaeaceae.